GAUGAACGCUGGCGGCGUGCCUAAUACAUGCAAGUCGAGCGAACGGACGAGAAGCUUGCUUCUCUGAUGUUAGCGGCGGACGGGUGAGUAACACGUGGAUAACCUACCUAUAAGACUGGGAUAACUUCGGGAAACCGGAGCUAAUACCGGAUAAUAUUUUGAACCGCAUGGUUCAAAAGUGAAAGACGGUCUUGCUGUCACUUAUAGAUGGAUCCGCGCUGCAUUAGCUAGUUGGUAAGGUAACGGCUUACCAAGGCAACGAUGCAUAGCCGACCUGAGAGGGUGAUCGGCCACACUGGAACUGAGACACGGUCCAGACUCCUACGGGAGGCAGCAGUAGGGAAUCUUCCGCAAUGGGCGAAAGCCUGACGGAGCAACGCCGCGUGAGUGAUGAAGGUCUUCGGAUCGUAAAACUCUGUUAUUAGGGAAGAACAUAUGUGUAAGUAACUGUGCACAUCUUGACGGUACCUAAUCAGAAAGCCACGGCUAACUACGUGCCAGCAGCCGCGGUAAUACGUAGGUGGCAAGCGUUAUCCGGAAUUAUUGGGCGUAAAGCGCGCGUAGGCGGUUUUUUAAGUCUGAUGUGAAAGCCCACGGCUCAACCGUGGAGGGUCAUUGGAAACUGGAAAACUUGAGUGCAGAAGAGGAAAGUGGAAUUCCAUGUGUAGCGGUGAAAUGCGCAGAGAUGUGGAGGAACACCAGUGGCGAAGGCGACUUUCUGGUCUGUAACUGACGCUGAUGUGCGAAAGCGUGGGGAUCAAACAGGAUUAGAUACCCUGGUAGCCCACGCCGUAAACGAUGAGUGCUAAGUGUUAGGGGGUUUCCGCCCCUUAGUGCUGCAGCUAACGCAUUAAGCACUCCGCCUGGGGAGUACGACCGCAAGGUUGAAACUCAAAGGAAUUGACGGGGACCCGCACAAGCGGUGGAGCAUGUGGUUUAAUUCGAAGCAACGCGAAGAACCUUACCAAAUCUUGACAUCCUUUGACAACUCUAGAGAUAGAGCCUUCCCCUUCGGGGGACAAAGUGACAGGUGGUGCAUGGUUGUCGUCAGCUCGUGUCGUGAGAUGUUGGGUUAAGUCCCGCAACGAGCGCAACCCUUAAGCUUAGUUGCCAUCAUUAAGUUGGGCACUCUAAGUUGACCGCCGGUGACAAACCGGAGGAAGGUGGGGAUGACGUCAAAUCAUCAUGCCCCUUAUGAUUUGGGCUACACACGUGCUACAAUGGACAAUACAAAGGGCAGCGAAACCGCGAGGUCAAGCAAAUCCCAUAAAGUUGUUCUCAGUUCGGAUUGUAGUCUGCAACUCGACUACAUGAAGCUGGAAUCGCUAGUAAUCGUAGAUCAGCAUGCUACGGUGAAUACGUUCCCGGGUCU
RNAcentral lists this ribosomal RNA (1372 nucleotides) under uncultured bacterium. RNAcentral describes it as "bacterial SSU rRNA". It matches the Rfam family "Bacterial small subunit ribosomal RNA", at positions 28 to 1381 of the family's 1533-position model. The record is from RNAcentral.